CCUACGGGAGGCAGCAGUGGGGAAUAUUGGACAAUGGGCGCAAGCCUGAUCCAGCAAUGCCGCGUGAGUGAUGAAGGCCUUAGGGUCGUAAAGCUCUUUUACCAGGGAUGAUAAUGACAGUACCUGGAGAAUAAGCUCCGGCUAACUCCGUGCCAGCAGCCGCGGUAAUACGGAGGGAGCUAGCGUUGUUCGGAAUUACUGGGCGUAAAGCGUACGUAGGCGGUUAUUCAAGUCAGAGGUGAAAGCCCGGGGCUCAACCCCGGAACGGCCUUUGAAACUAGGUAGCUAGAAUCUUGGAGAGGUCAGUGGAAUUCCGAGUGUAGAGGUGAAAUUCGUAGAUAUUCGGAAGAACACCAGUGGCGAAGGCGACUGACUGGACAAGUAUUGACGCUGAGGUACGAAAGCGUGGGGAGCAAACAGGAUUAGAUACCCUGGUAGUCCACGCCGUAAACGAUGAUAACUAGCUGUUCGGGCACUUGGUGCUUGAGUGGCGCAGCUAACGCAUUAAGUUAUCCGCCUGGGGAGUACGGUCGCAAGAUUAAACUUAGAA
Molecule: ribosomal RNA, 550 nt
Filed under: uncultured bacterium
Lineage: Bacteria
Description: bacterial SSU rRNA
Rfam family: Bacterial small subunit ribosomal RNA
Source: RNAcentral